RNAcentral lists this ribosomal RNA (484 nucleotides) under uncultured bacterium. RNAcentral describes it as "partial 16S ribosomal RNA". It matches the Rfam family "Bacterial small subunit ribosomal RNA", at positions 30 to 507 of the family's 1533-position model. The record is from RNAcentral.
AUUGAACGCUGGCGGCAGGCCUAACACAUGCAAGUCGAGCGGAUGAAGGGAGCUUGCUCCUGGAUUCAGCGGCGGACGGGUGAGUAAUGCCUAGGAAUCUGCCUGGUAGUGGGGGAUAACGUCCGGAAACGGGCGCUAAUACCGCAUACGUCCUGAGGGAGAAAGUGGGGGAUCUUCGGACCUCACGCUAUCAGAUGAGCCUAGGUCGGAUUAGCUAGUUGGUGGGGUAAAGGCCUACCAAGGAGACGAUCCGUAACUGGUCUGAGAGGAUGAUCAGUCACACUGGAACUGGAACACGGUCCAGACUCCUACGAGAGGCAGCAGUGGGGAAUAUUGGACAAUGGGCGAAAGCCUGAUCCAGCCAUGCCGCGUGUGUUAAGAAGGUCUUCGGAUUGUAAAGCACUUUAAGUUGGGAGGAAGGGCAGUAAGUUAAUACCUUGCUGUUUUGACGUUACCAACAGAAUAAGCACCGGCUAACUUCGUG